GAUGAACGCUAGCGAUAGGCUUAACACAUGCAAGUCGAGGGGCAGCAUGGUCUUAGCUUGCUAAGACUGAUGGCGACCGGCGCACGGGUGCGUAACGCGUAUGCAACUUGCCUCACAGAGGGGGAUAACCCGUCGAAAGACGGACUAAUACCGCGUACACUCCAUCUUGGGCAUCCAAGGCAGAGGAAAUGAAAUUCGCUGUGAGAUAGGCAUGCGUCCCAUUAGCUAGUUGGUGAGGUAACGGCUCACCAAGGCGACGAUGGGUAGGGGAACUGAGAGGUUGAACCCCCACACUGGUACUGAGACACGGACCAGACUACUACGGGAGGCAGCAGUGAGGAAUAUUGGUCAAUGGGCGAGAGCCUGAACCAGCCAAGUCGCGUGAAGGAUGACUGUCUUAUGGAUUGUAAACUUCUUUUAUACGGGAAUAACAAGAGUCACGUGUGACUCCCUGCAUGUACCGUAUGAAUAAGCAUCGGCUAACUCCGUG
This 490-nucleotide ribosomal RNA is filed under the name uncultured bacterium. Its description in RNAcentral is "partial 16S ribosomal RNA". It matches the Rfam family "Bacterial small subunit ribosomal RNA", at positions 28 to 507 of the family's 1533-position model. The record is from RNAcentral.